This is a long non-coding RNA of Pseudopipra pipra, 3197 nucleotides long. RefSeq lists it as uncharacterized. The transcript is spliced from 2 exons. The record is from RefSeq and is a predicted model, not a curated record. NCBI's taxonomy places the organism in Eukaryota, Metazoa, Chordata, Aves, Passeriformes, Pipridae.
AAUUUCAUUGUCUAAUUUACAAAUCUGCGAGCGCACUUCCUCUGACUGGAGUUGUUCCUGAAGAACUUGCAGGUGCUAACCUCUCCGGCGCCCUCGCUGCUACUCGAAAAACUGCGUGUUCCUGGCUCUUUGAGCAAACGCUCCAUCCAGUGGCUGUUUUCCGUACUGCACGGUGAAGGAAGUCUAGGCAAAGUCGGAUUCCUUGGAGGAGCCUGCGUUAGAGAUACUACACAAACCAUCUCACCAUCCAAUUUCAUAUGCUUAGAUUUUAUUUCCUGCAAUAAAACAAGAGUUGUUAAAUUGAACGAACUGGAUUUAAAAAGGCUGAUAGUGCCACACAAUGCAUCACGAUAUGAUAUCAACCUAAGACAUAUCACAAGAUAUAAGCAUACAUUUUCCUGUUUUGAAUCAGAAUGACUAUAUUUUUAAACAACAUUUAGUUGUCACUAUAAAUUAAGGUUUUUUUUUUUUUUUCAUCUUCUCCAGUUCUUUGUUUAUAAACUAUGCUGGAAUAUUGUAUUUAUCAGAAGGAAACACUUAAAUUUAAAUUACAGUCAUUAUCUUGGUUUAGUGCUUUCCAACUGGAUAAUGUCUACUCCUUUUGAGGUGGUCUGCACAGGGUUUGAUUGGCAGGGCUCCUUGUCUCUUAAGACUUCUAAAAGCAUCUGUAUUCUGAGCAAAAGACAGUUUGGAUGUCUAUAAAAACUGCAGAUGACACAGAAGAGCCACUCUGGCUUUGAUCACUGAAGACACAUAAACAGGAACUGCUUUUUGAAAGAGGAUUAUAGCAUUUUAGAAACUCUGCAACUUCUGUCACUAUUCUUUGUUCAGAAUUAAUUACUUCAUUUCUUUCACUACUACCAAAGAAAUUUGAGUCUCAGCCUUUGUCACAAUCUCAAAUUAAAGGAGUUUUGAUUACUUACCUCCUUUCCAUCACCAGACAUGGAGCAAAUCUUACAGCUUGGUUUUAAAUGCUUAAGUUCACAGAACUUUCUUUUAAAAAAUUAAUAUUUCUAUAUUAAUAACAAUAAUUAAUUGUAUAUUAUAUAUUAUAUAUCACAUAUUAUAUAUAAUUACAUAUUAGAUAUGUUAUGCACUUCUUAUUAUUAUUGUUAUUGUUAUUAAUGUUUUGAGUUGGAAGGGACCUAAUAGGUCAUCUAGUUCCAGCUCCCCUUCCAUGGGCAGGGACCCCUUUCACUAGACUGGGUUGAUCAAAUCCCUAUUCAACCUUGUCUUGAACACUUGCAGGGAUGGGGCAUCCACGACUUCUCUGGGCAACCUGUGCCAGUGUCUCACCACCCUCACAGUAAAGAAUUUCUUUCUAAUAUCUAAUCUAGAUUUACCCUCUGUGAGUUUAAAGCCAUUCCUCAUUGUUCUGUCACUACAUGCCCUCGUAAUAGUAAUAACAGUAAUAGUAGUAGUAAUAAUAACAAUAUUGUUACUAUUGUUAUGGAAGAGAGCUGAGAAAGUUCUGGAUAUCCAACUGUUAAAAAGCAUCUAUAGAAUUGCAAAUACUGAUAACACCAAGUCCAAUUUUUUAAUGUAUUUGUGAUAUGAAUAAUAACAUAACAAUGGCAAAUAACAAUGCAAUUUUUCCUUCCACAUUUAAUUAAAUGUUACAGGAUUGAUAGUUAUUUGUUGUGAAAAGCACAGUUAUAUGCUCUUACUGUGCUCUGAAUAUGAUAAAGACCACUUCAUACCAUGAAAAAGCAUCACCAUCAAUAUGUUUAUAAAAAAGCCUUACACCCACCAGAGCCCUGGAGAGUUCUUGUGUACCAUAAAGUGCUUUACUUGUCAUCUUCACUGGGAAUCCACAUAGUUGUGAAAGAUUGCUCUUCACGUCAGAAACAAAAGAGUUCACUACACUUUCUGCAUCUGUUCUAGGGAAAUACUGCACUGGCUGACUACGAACGCAACUUAAAGGAUACCUGAAUAAGUGUUAAGCGAUACACAACAAGUUUCUUUAUGUUUCUAUAAUUACUAAUCAUCUUUGUAGAGAAGAAAGCAUGAACAGGUCUAAAGCUUUUUUAAAAAGGUGAAAAAAAGCAUUUAGUUUCUUGCAGGACUGAAGCUUAUAAAGUUACAGGACUUCAGCAUGACUAUACCAUACUAACCUACAGCAGUAAAGAUUACUCAGUAGAAGUAAUCCUUAGUCCAGUCUUUCCUGGCAGGAAAAUUCUCUUUAAAACAAAUAUUUGUUGGCCAUGUUUUUACAAGAAUUUAACUCUUUCUUUUACAUCACCAUUUAGAGUGGCAUUAUCAUUUUUACAGAAGCCGUGAAAUAAAUGCCUCUAUUUUACUAUUAUUCAACACUAGAACAGAGACUUGACUAAAUAUUUUGUUUCAAUUUGUCUAGUGAAACUAUUCUCUACUGGCUUCUAUAAAACUACGAAGAAGAAAAUGUGGUGCACUCAAAAAUGAAAAGCAGAGCUUUGCUAGAAAUGUAGUAGAGGAAAUGUAACAAAUAUAUUCUGAAAGGAUACGUGAAGAACCUUUCCCCUAUUGGUUUGAAGUAAACACUCAAGUAUAUUUUUGUGUCUUCAAGAUCCUCAGGAAGAAUAUAACCAUACUUCAAAAAAACCAAACAAAAAUGUAUAUUACAAAUACAAACUCAAUAGGCACAAAGAAGGAAGUGAAAAAUGAAAACUGUAUAUGUUUCUUACCAAACUCUUCCAGUGCACCUGAAAUUCUUUAUAUGAAUGGAAAGGAGAUUCUGGAGGAAUUAUAUGGCUGAUGUUUAUGAUCUGACCCAUUUUCAUGCUGUGCACAGGUAAAGAAGGGAUGCUUAGAAUGAGUGUCAAAAAAUCCAGCCAAAGAUAUACUGGUCUUUGGAAAAAAAAAUAAUUUGGCAUUGAAAGUAUUUACAGAUUAUUUUUGUUUUGAGGACAUUUAGCUCAAAAGUUUAUGACAUAACAAUAGCAAUACUUCCUGAAGUGUGGAAAAGAACUUGGCAUCUACAAGUCUAAUUUAUCUUGUCCGUAAUACUACCAGUGAGUAGAGAAAAAAAGCAAAUAUAUCAUUGCUUCUCAUAUUUUUAUGAUGAAAAAGCAUAGGUAAAAAUAAAGAUAGUUUGUGGCAAAGAUGGAAAUAUUUUUUCUUUAAAUUGACACUUUCUGCUAAAAUUAUAUUUGAGAAAAAAUGAUGCUUUUGCAUGCCACAGAAGUAGCACAAAAUUGAAAUAAUACUUAAAUGUGUAA